RNAcentral lists this ribosomal RNA (253 nucleotides) under uncultured bacterium. Its description in RNAcentral is "partial 16S ribosomal RNA". It matches the Rfam family "Bacterial small subunit ribosomal RNA", at positions 524 to 776 of the family's 1533-position model. The record is from RNAcentral.
UACGUAGGUGGCAAGCGUUGUCCGGAAUUAUUGGGCGUAAAGAGCUCGUAGGCGGUUUGUUGCGUCGGCUGUGAAAUCCCGAGGCUCAACCUCGGGUCUGCAGUCGAUACGAGCAAACUAGAGUGUUGCAGGGGAGACUGGAAUUCCUGGUGUAGCGGUGAAAUGCGCAGAUAUCAGGAGGAACACCCGUGGCGAAGGCGGCUCUCUGGGACGGUACUGACGCUGAGACGCGAAAGCGUGGGGAGCGAACAGG